Molecule: ribosomal RNA, 433 nt
Filed under: uncultured bacterium
Lineage: Bacteria
Description: partial 16S ribosomal RNA
Rfam family: Bacterial small subunit ribosomal RNA
Source: RNAcentral
AACGAACGCUGGCGGCAGGCCUAACACAUGCAAGUCGAGCGGACCCUUCGGGGUUAGCGGCGGACGGGUGAGUAACGCGUGGGAAUAUGCCCUUCUCUACGGAAUGGUCCUGGGAAACUGGGGGUAAUACCGUAUACGCCCUUUGGGGGAAAGAUUGAUCGGGGCAGGAUUAGACCGCGUUGGAUUAGGUAGUUGGUGGGGUAAUGGCCGACCAAGGCGACGAUCCAUAGCUGGUUUGAGAGGAUGAUCAGCCACACUGGGACUGAGACACGGCCCAGACUCCUACGGGAGGCAGCAGGGGGGAAUCUUAGACAAUGGGGGCAACCCUGAUCCAGCCAUGCCGCGUGAGUGAUGAAGGCCUUAGGGUUGUAAAGCUCUUUCAGCUGGGAAGAUAAUGACGGUACCAGCAGAAGAAGCCCCGGCUAACUCCGUG